UCCGUGUUAACCACGACAGUCUGUCUGGAGUGCCCAACUUAAUGAUGGCAACCAAACACAGGGGUUGCGCUCGUUGCGGGACUAACCCAACAUUUCACAACACGAGCUGACGACAGCCAUGCAGCACCUGUCUUUCUGUCCCUUGCGGGCCUAUUAUAUCUCUACAAUAUUCAGAAGAUGUCAAAUCCAGGUAAGGUUCUUCGCGUUGCUUCGAAUUAAACCACAUGAUCCACCGCUUGUGCGGGUCCCCGUCAAUUCCUUUGAGUUUUAGUCUUGCGACCGUACUUCCCAGGCGGGAUACUUAUCGCGUUAGCUUCAACACGGCAGGGGUCAAGACCCACCACGUUUAGUAUCCAUCGUUUACAGCGUGGACUAC
This 376-nucleotide unclassified non-coding RNA is filed under the name uncultured Oligoflexales bacterium. RNAcentral's name for it is "contains 16S-23S intergenic spacer region". Lineage: Bacteria; Pseudomonadati; Bdellovibrionota; Oligoflexia; Oligoflexales. The record is from RNAcentral.